This is a long non-coding RNA of Bombus terrestris (buff-tailed bumblebee), 1006 nucleotides long. RefSeq lists it as uncharacterized. NCBI's taxonomy places the organism in Eukaryota, Metazoa, Arthropoda, Insecta, Hymenoptera, Apidae. The transcript has 2 exons. The record is from RefSeq and is a predicted model, not a curated record.
CGGAUGUCAAAUACGGAGUGACAAUAGAAACAAAGUUUCUUGGUAAUCGUAUCGGUAAAACAGUAAAACGUCGGUAGGCCGACGUACAAAUGUCACGUCUAUUCUGUACCUCGUGGAUGAGAUAAUCACUGACGAGUCCUCUCUGAUAAUUCCUAUGUUCGCCGUUGAAAAUCGUAGAGGGCGUAAGAAACAUUUUGACUUUUUGACAGGCGAUAUUUCAUAACCUAUGACACAAAAUUCCAUUUCGUCAUGUCUAAUCUGUCCUUAGUAAAUAUUUUAUUCGGCUGGCGCAUAGUGCCGUGAAAUUGCUGGUAAACAGUAUUGACGCAUACGCUGCCACACUUAUAGGAAUAAUUAUAAGCAGAAUUCACAGUAGUAGUAACGAUAGCUUUUCGUUAAUAACACUUUAAAGAGUAACGAGCGUCGACUAAAACCUCCUGGAGGUUGCUCAGGAGAGUAUCCUUGAUAACGAUGUGUCAAGAUCAAGGUCAUCGUAGCUGACUUCCAUAUUGUGAAUAAUUAACAGAUCAUUAUCAUAUUUACUAUUACGAAGCAACCAGUUCCUGUUCGUAUAACUUUUAAUGUCUAUACAUAUACCAAAUAAGUUAUUGAUAUAUUUCUUUAAAAAUUCUUCUAUAUUUAAAACGAAAGCUUUCAACGCAGAGUGAAAGACGAAUUUUAUCUUCGAGAUAAGCUGCUUCCAUAUUAUGACAGAAAGCUGACGCAAGGAUUUUAGAAAAUUCUGACAAUAGCUACUGUAUCUCAUCUCUGGUAUUAGACUAUCAAAUACAAUGAAGCAGACAAGAAGGUUGUUUAAAAAGGAAUGUAUGAAAUUAUAAUGUACGAGGAGGUGCAAUUUCAGGAUGAAAUAAUCUCAACAACGUUAAUCUUUUCAUUUUAUUGUACCAAAAAAUUUCAUCUCGUUCAAUCAUUAUUAAUUCAAUAUAAUAUAUUUAUCCUUUAUAUUUGUUAUAUCUUAUUUAUAAUAAAUAUUUAUAAUAGUGUA